RNAcentral lists this transfer RNA (71 nucleotides) under Agrilus planipennis (emerald ash borer). It matches the Rfam family "tRNA". From Rfam's summary of the family: Transfer RNA (tRNA) molecules are approximately 80 nucleotides in length. Their secondary structure includes four short double-helical elements and three loops (D, anti-codon, and T loops). Lineage: Eukaryota; Metazoa; Arthropoda; Insecta; Coleoptera; Buprestidae. The record is from Rfam by way of RNAcentral.
UCUUUCGUAGCUUAGUGGUCAGCAUUGGUGUAUCAAGCCAAAGGUCGCGGGUUCGAUUCCCGGCGGGGGUG